RNAcentral lists this transfer RNA (84 nucleotides) under Halanaerobium congolense. Its description in RNAcentral is "tRNA-Leu". It matches the Rfam family "tRNA". From Rfam's summary of the family: Transfer RNA (tRNA) molecules are approximately 80 nucleotides in length. The record is from RNAcentral. Lineage: Bacteria; Bacillati; Bacillota; Clostridia; Halanaerobiales; Halanaerobiaceae.
GCCGAAGUGGCGGAACUGGCAGACGCGCAGCGUUGAGGGCGCUGUGGGCCUCGGCCUGUGUGGGUUCGAAUCCCACCUUCGGCA